Molecule: small nuclear RNA, 101 nt
Filed under: Saimiri boliviensis boliviensis (Bolivian squirrel monkey)
Lineage: Eukaryota; Metazoa; Chordata; Mammalia; Primates; Cebidae
Source: RNAcentral
CUUGCUUUGGCAAGAUGUAUGAACACUGAAAAAAACAGAGAAGAUUAGCAUGGCCCCUCUGCAAGGAUCACAUGCAAAUUUAUGAAACAUUCCAAAUAUAU